CGCCCAAAUGAUGUUUCUAUAAUUCUUCGUAGCAUCAAGCGUUGUUUCGUUUUUUUUUUUUUUUUUUCUUGUUUUUCACCUAAGGUUACGCCCGUUCCGGGAACAUCGAACGAACUUUUUUUGGCCUUAUCGCCCAUUAAUAGAUCUCUUCCGAAGUUGCAUCUUUCUCUUUCAACACAGAUUUUUAAGAUAAAACUGUAUUCUGGUUUUUAUUUCUCACUCAUUUCCAGUUAACAGUUCUUUAAGAAUACCAAAGUUUUAAGUUUGAAUCUGCCAACAUUUUUAGGUAUUGAAAAACUUACCCCGAGUGGUUUCAGAAGUGUUUUUUUAUGCCCUUUAAGAACAGAAUGAAAAAUUAUCUAUCGGAUAUUCGAGGAUGGCGUGAUUUUUCUUUAAUUCGUUACCGUAUAUAGGCAUUUGUUAAUUCGUUACCGUGAUUAAGUAAAGUUAUACUUUAUUUAAUUAUAUAACAGAUGUAGCCGUUCACUGGGGAACAGAUUGAUUAACAUAUUUUAAACGCGAAUAAGAAUAAUCCUGGUAUAUAUAAGGUCUUUUCUACGAAUGGAACCAUUUUUUUUUUUUUUACUUCUCCCUCUUCCUGCCUGCACGUUAAUGUAUACAGAAAGCUAUUGUACUUUUUAAAACCUGUGCCCGAAGGUCAACUUCCAGUCGAAUUGUUCUUUAAGUAAACUGUAUUUUAAUUUUUUUUUUUUCUUCUUCUUCUUCUGUUACUCCAUUUGUGGUAUAAUCGUACACUAAAGGAGCGAUCGGAAAAUCGGAGAUAUUUCUAAAACCGUCUCUUAAUGCGAUUUUGGUAUAAAUCCGUCGAAAUCGGAGUAAUGUUUACUCUGGAGUUUUGGAGAAUUUUGCGGCUUUGUUUACAUCCGCAACUGGAUCUAUUUUUCUAAAACGCCUACCCGAAAGUGUGACGUAACAUUCGAAGGGAUCACACACACCAGAAAAGCGGGACAACAGAAUAGGAUUUACUUGUACAAAUUUACAGUAAAGGCGACGUCAUCGAUAGAAAUUUCCCGGACGUCCUUGAGAAACCGGUUGUCGAUGUUAAUGAAACUUCGAGAUGUUCUGGUGUAUCUCUGUCUGUAUCUGAACACAGGACCAAUAUACGGAAAUACUUAAAUCAGACCUCUCUGAUACAUUGACUCUUUGUUUUAUUGUAUUCGUAACAGGUUCGAAAAUACUAUUUCCAUGUUAAAUUUUUUUAAAAUUGUCUGCGUGUAAUAAUUUUGCCAGGAGGCCCGAAAGUGUUUGCAUAAGGAGAACUGUAACAAUGUUUAAAUUUGUUAAAAUUUACGUGGUUUUUAUGCUGAACAUCAACUGUAGAAAACUGUUAAGAUAUAUGCAAAUUUAUAACUAUUUUUACAAAACAGAAAGAUCGGUCUCUGUGUUUGUCUGUAAAAUGUCUCGCGAAACACGACAGAACGUUUUUACAUUAUUAUUCAGUCUAAUUGUCUAUUGUUCUUUCGUUACAAGAUGGCGGAAAUUUAAAAUUUUAAAUAAUUCUAUAACUUUAAAAGUAUUUGUUGCGUGUAAAUGAUGUCAUACACAACGUUACUUAACACCAAUACAAGAGUUUCCACCUUAACAAAAUUCGAUAACAGCAAAGAUUUUUCGUUUGGAUAAUUGUUUUUAGUGUUACAGUAAUUGUUGCUAAAAUCCGGAAACCUCUUAUCCGGAUAAGAGUUUUACUGUAUAUAGUAUUCAUAUCAAAAUGUACACUGUAGCAGUUGUUUAUGUUUAAAACAUGUUUUUAGUGCGUAAAAUAAUUAAACGAGGAACAGAAAUCUUCAUUUUGUCAUAAAAUAUUGUGAUUACAAAUCAUUUUUAUUUUCAUAUCUGCAUCGAAAUGGUUUCACUUCAGUAAUCCUGAGGAACAAUAUCGCUGUUAGUCCAGAUUAAAAGACAUUUUUCUUGAUUUUUUUUAAGGUAAACUUAUCAGAUUUUCUAGCUUUAUCUCUCAC
RNAcentral lists this long non-coding RNA (1979 nucleotides) under Androctonus crassicauda. The record is from RNAcentral. Lineage: Eukaryota; Metazoa; Arthropoda; Arachnida; Scorpiones; Buthidae.